AACCCUAGAGACCCUUUUAAUUUCCGUCUCCAAACUCUCUCAAAAUAAAACCCUAACCACCUUAAUAACCCCCGCCGUCUCUAUCGUGGUCUGCCGACCGGAAAUUGCCUCACAGCGGCGGACCACCUCCAAACUACACCAAAUUAACACCAGACAAUCACCCUCUCCUCCUCUUUCCAUAUCUCAUAACCAUUUCUUUCAAACAAGUCUGGAAAUUCUCGAAUCUUGGAUCUGAAAUCCAAACCCUAGUUUUUUCCGUUUUGAUUUCUGGCCAAUUUCUGGGUCAUUUGAACCCAAGACUUCCAUUAGUCGACUGUUCUUGUUGAGAACAGUAGAUUAAUGAUCGUUCAAGUUCAUUUUACUCCAUUGAAGCUUGUCCGAGUUCAUGACUAGUCCCAAAUUCGAAGCGAGUCUUGGUAAUUCCUUUUCCGUUCUCUUUCCUUUCUUCUUUUGCUCAUCUCUUUCAUCUUCUUUCUUCUUUUAGCCCGCAUGACUUAGGUAACCACAGUUUAGUUCUUGUCCUUUUGCUUGGUAUUGUCUACUUGUUUAUGAAGUAUACUGAAUUGCAUAAGUAUUUGAAGUUUAGUUUCAGUUGCAUGAAUUUAGUUUAACUAGAGUUAACUUUUAGGUUUGAUAAAUAGCAUGAUUUUUCUGUUUUUUUUCAUGUUUCUGUCUUAUGCUUGUUUAUUUUAUGUUCAGUGUUUGGUUUAAGUAAAUUAGAAUAAUUUUGCUCAAGAUGAUUAAUAAGUUGUUUAGUCUAUUUUUUAGUUAGCUAUUAGAAAAAUUGGUUGAUUAAAUUGUUUAACUUGCAAACUGAGUAGGUUAAUUUCUAAGAUUUCUUUGCAGUUUCAUUCUAGUUCUAGUUUGUUUACUGUUUAGAUGUGUUAGUUGUUUAAAUCCAGUUUUGUUUAAGGUUAAUUAGGUGAGCAUGUUAAUUUAUUAAUUAGAUUUAGAUUUGUUUGGUUUAAACCCUGAAUGCCCUUAAUCUCAAGAUUGAUUUCGGAAUUGAAAGGACAUUUGAAAUGUUGGAAUCUCCUAGAUUAUUCUAGGAGGUUCCAUAAGGGUCUUUAAAAUCAGAAUUUGGGUCAGGACUAGUUAGGACUAAAAUAAUCAGUAAAUGAAAGGGUAAAAUUGGUUUUACACAAGGUAAAAAAUUAGAAGGUUCUAGCAUUUUGUAUAGCUGCCCCAUUCUUAGCAAAAAUUGCUGAAAUUGGGUGGGAAAAAGGACAUACAUCUAUCCAAAGAUGAUGUACUAUCUGACCCUUAGGGAAUUUAGGGUAGAAUAUGCUCUUCUGAUGCUAUUUUAGAAUACCCUAUGAAAGAAAAGGGACUCCUUCAUUCUAGACAGAUCUUUUAGAACCCUAAAAACACUCUAAAGGUUCAGCUAUUGUUUCAUUAGGAGUUGAUUCUCUUUUUCUAUGAUUUUAGCAAAAAACUUAAAGAACUUCUUUGGGAUUUUCUGUUUUUCAUCAGUCGAAAAUGGAUUGAAUUGUGAGGCUUUCUUUUCUGGGAUUUACUGCGGUAGUUGCUGUGUUUGCUCAUCUUCCAUUAGCUGUUGUGAGAUUCUGGGCUAGCUAUCAUCGAUUCGGGAAUUUAUUUUCUACUUCUUGUGUUUUGUUGCUACCUGCUACUUUUAGGUAUGCCAAAACACCUUUGUAUUUCUCUUUGAGUAUAAAAAUGAGGUUCCUUAGUUGGUUGAUUCUAUGACUAUGCCUAUUAUUUGAGUUUUUUUGUAUUUGUUUGCUACAUGUGUUACCUAUGUUUCUCUGUGAACAUCAGCUGUAAAUAUCAGCUCUUUCUUUACUCAAUCAUUAGUUGAAAUUUUUUAAGUUAAGACUAUUCUUAAACUAGAUCAGAUGCUAUUGAUAUUUGUUCAUUCUGCUGGAGCGUGUUAGUAAUCAACAUUUAACCUCUUUUAUGAUACAUUUAGUCAUGUAACUCUUGGUCUCAUAAAAAAUUGUACUAAAGCCAUUGUUAGUGAUGUGCUUAACAUGAAAAAUGGAGGUUUUGGGAAGCAUGAGCAACUGCAGGCCAAAGUCUGGAUUCCACAUGUUGAAAUGGACCUUGUAAUUUCAUGAAGUAAAGGUUCGGUGUGUAGAAUUGAGCAUUUUGUUAUAAAAAAGAGGUUAUGAGCCCUGUUUGUGAUGCUACAGAAUGCCAAAAAUGUUAUUUUUUAUUUUUAGUAGUUGUAUCAUUCAUAUUAGAUUUCCAUUGUAAUAUAAAAUUAUCAACUCUUUAGUCGAGUAUUCCCUGAAAUUUGGCAGAAUUAUCUAGUCAUAGUAUGAUUCGAGUAAAACUUGAUUAACUUGGUUUGUGGGGUGAGC
RNAcentral lists this long non-coding RNA (2324 nucleotides) under Nicotiana tabacum (common tobacco). RNAcentral describes it as "long non-coding RNA (NTAB_LNC013402)". Lineage: Eukaryota; Viridiplantae; Streptophyta; Magnoliopsida; Solanales; Solanaceae. The record is from RNAcentral.